AGCGGGGUAGGGUAGCCAGGUCUAUCCCGCCGGGCUCAUAACCCGGAGAUCGGUGGUUCAAAUCCACCCCCCGCUA
RNAcentral lists this transfer RNA (76 nucleotides) under Methanotorris formicicus Mc-S-70. RNAcentral describes it as "tRNA-Met". It matches the Rfam family "tRNA". Rfam says of the family: Transfer RNA (tRNA) molecules are approximately 80 nucleotides in length. Their secondary structure includes four short double-helical elements and three loops (D, anti-codon, and T loops). Lineage: Archaea; Methanobacteriati; Methanobacteriota; Methanococci; Methanococcales; Methanocaldococcaceae. RNAcentral also lists the same sequence under 5 other names. The record is from RNAcentral.